GUUCCUUGGGGAACAAUGGAUAAAAUUGGAACAAUAAAAAAAAGAUCGGCAUGACCCGUAUGUAAGGAUGACACACAAAUUGAGAAAUGGUCUAAAUUUUA
This is a non-coding RNA of Lupinus angustifolius (narrow-leaved blue lupine), 101 nucleotides long. NCBI's taxonomy places the organism in Eukaryota, Viridiplantae, Streptophyta, Magnoliopsida, Fabales, Fabaceae. The record is from Rfam.